ACACAUGCAGUCGAGCGGCAGCACAGAGAAACUUGUUUCUCGGGUGGCGAGCGGCGGACGGGUGAGUAAUGCCUGGGAAAUUGCCCUGAUGUGGGGGAUAACCAUUGGAAACGAUGGCUAAUACCGCAUAAUAGCUUCGGCUCAAAGAGGGGGACCUUCGGGCCUCUCGCGUCAGGAUAUGCCCAGGUGGGAUUAGCUAGUUGGUGAGGUAAUGGCUCACCAAGGCGACGAUCCCUAGCUGGUCUGAGAGGAUGAUCAGCCACACUGGAACUGAGACACGGUCCAGACUCCUACGGGAGGCAGCAGUGGGGAAUAUUGCACAAUGGGCGCAAGCCUGAUGCAGCCAUGCCGCGUGUGUGAAGAAGGCCUUCGGGUUGUAAAGCACUUUCAGUCGUGAGGAAGGUGGUGUUGUUAAUAGCAACAUCAUUUGACGUUAGCGACAGAAGAAGCACCGGCUAACUCCGUGCCAGCAGCCGCGGUAAUACGGAGGGUGCGAGCGUUAAUCGGAAUUACUGGGCGUAAAGCGCAUGCAGGUGGUUUGUUAAGUCAGAUGUGAAAGCCCGGGGCUCAACCUCGGAAUAGCAUUUGAAACUGGCAAGCUAGAGUACUGUAGAGGGGGGUAGAAUUUCACGUGUAGCGGUGAAAUGCGUAGAGAUCUGAAAGGAAUACCGGUGGCGAAAGCGGCCCCCUGGACAGAUACUGACACUCAGAUGCGAAAGCGUGGGGAGCAAACAG
RNAcentral lists this ribosomal RNA (735 nucleotides) under uncultured bacterium. RNAcentral's name for it is "bacterial SSU rRNA". It matches the Rfam family "Bacterial small subunit ribosomal RNA", at positions 51 to 775 of the family's 1533-position model. The record is from RNAcentral.